ACAUCUCAACUUCGUUCCAUUUAUUUCUCAUUUGAAACCUUCACAACUCUUAUUUCACAACUCAAAUUUUUUUUUUGUUUUUUUUUGUUUUUCACUAUUUUUCUUCCAAGCAAGCAUUCAUUUUUAUUUUCUCUAUUUUUGUUUUUUAUGCUUGCUCGGUUUUUCAAGAGUUGUGGCACUUACCGAUUCUCAUUUUCGUUCUCCCCAACUUAUUUCUUACUCACCCUAAGUGAAUGCUCUUGACUUUUUUAUGGCAAAAGAACAAUUAUCAAAAUUUUCCGGGUUUCAAAAAAAAGAUUUUUGAAAUCUCGCUUUAUUUCAAGCUAAGAUUCAACUGUUUAAGCUCAAAGGGGUUAACGAAUACUCUCUCUGCUCACAGGUAAGUUGUAUUUG
Molecule: long non-coding RNA, 393 nt
Filed under: Lathyrus oleraceus (garden pea)
Lineage: Eukaryota; Viridiplantae; Streptophyta; Magnoliopsida; Fabales; Fabaceae
Description: Pisum sativum (pea) long non-coding RNA (PSAT_LNC039693)
Source: RNAcentral